AAUAAAUGCAGCCAUGAGUUUCCGCGUCCAACUUUGAUCGUCUGUCUUAUUUAAAAUUUUUUGAAAUUAGCAUUUUUGUUGUUAUAAGAUGAUAAAACAUGAAUAGUACUUUACUCUUCACUUAUGGUUUUUCUUAUCAAAAUUUUUUCAAAUAAGACGAAUGGUUAAAGUUGAGCGCGAAAAACCAUGACUGCACUUAUU
Oryza meridionalis is the source of this 201-nucleotide non-coding RNA. NCBI's taxonomy places the organism in Eukaryota, Viridiplantae, Streptophyta, Magnoliopsida, Poales, Poaceae. The record is from Rfam.